GCCCUUGGUUGUGGCCCGGUCCGGUCCCAAUGGGCCCGCUCGCUUCUGGUUCCGGCCCGCGCAGGUUCCGCCCGAGGCUGGAUCGCCUGCGGCGCCGCCCGGAGACUCGGAGGCUCGGGGAAGAGGCCGGGGGCGCAGGCCGAGAGGUCUGUGUGGGUCAGGGCCGCCCGGGCUCGCUGCCCGCGGACUCUGACCUGCGUCGGCAGCCACGGCCAAUGCCGAUCCGGGCUCGAAACUUCGGGCGACCUGUGACCAACUUGGGUUGGUUUUGAACUACACAUCAAGUCCCUUCCAUGACAAGCCUCGGUGCACUGCUAACCGCUUGAAUCCUGUUCGAUCUCUUUCCCAGGCCCUGGCCCAGAGGUGCCAUAUGGUCCAGGGAAUGGCAGACCCGUGCCAGCUGGGAUGUGGGGAUCGUGUUUCUAGACACUAUCACAGGCCCAGGCUGAAGGCUUAUCCUGCAGAUGGCCACCUCCCACCCUCUCCAGUAGUGAUGCUCCCCGCCCUCUGCAGUCAGAUGGAUGUGGGUGAUCUCUAGGAUGCAGGCCCAGGCUUGUCCUGGCAGCCUGGCAGCCACCCCAUAGGUGACUGCAGACUGGACAUGGGGUGCCAGGGGCAGCAAAAGCCAAAAGCCUGGGGUUGGAGGCCCGGGGUGAGUGAAGAUCCCCCGAAAGGCUCUGGGCUAGGACUCCUCCUGAACCUGGGGGUCCCUCCCCUCAAGCCCUGGCUUCCAGGAGCCGCCUCGAAGCUGGGUCAGAACAGACUCCAGGACAUUCUUUCGUCUCCCUUGUAAAACCUAUCAGCGUUUUCACGCGCUUCCUGAGGAUCAAAGCCUUCCUGAUUGGAUGAGACUCCAUGGCCUGAGACUGAACACUUUUUUUCCUUCAGUUCUUUCCCUUUCUACUUCCCUCCCUCCUCCAACCCCAGUAGGCAAAAAAGCAGGCGGAGGACCGCGGAAUUCUGGCGGGUGAAACUUGGCCCGCGUCUGCAGGCCCUGCCUGUAAAUUUCCAGGGGCCGCGGGCGUGGCGGUAACUCCGCCCCCUGGCGGGCGCCUGACACACUGCACCCUGGGAGGCGGGGGGGGGGGGGGUGCCGCACUUCCGAGUUCAACGUUAAUAACACAUUUUAUAAGUUAA
This 1137-nucleotide long non-coding RNA is filed under the name Cavia porcellus (domestic guinea pig). Its description in RNAcentral is "lncRNA (ENSCPOG00000038164.1)". Lineage: Eukaryota; Metazoa; Chordata; Mammalia; Rodentia; Caviidae. The record is from RNAcentral.